Molecule: ribosomal RNA, 182 nt
Filed under: uncultured bacterium
Lineage: Bacteria
Description: partial 16S ribosomal RNA
Rfam family: Bacterial small subunit ribosomal RNA
Source: RNAcentral
GGGGUGAAAUCCCGGGGCUCAACCCCGGAACUGCCUUUAAUACUGCCGAUCUUGAGUACAGACGAGGUUGGAGGAAUUGAAGAUGUAGCGGUGAAAUGCAUAGAUAUCUUCAAGAACACCGAUUGCGUAGGCAGCUAACUAGGCUGUAACUGACGCUGAGGCACGAAAGCGUGGGGAGCGAA